Molecule: ribosomal RNA, 527 nt
Filed under: uncultured bacterium
Lineage: Bacteria
Description: bacterial SSU rRNA
Rfam family: Bacterial small subunit ribosomal RNA
Source: RNAcentral
ACCCAAUAGAUACCCCGGUAGUCCACGCUGUAAACGAUGAUCACUCGUUGUUGGCGAUAUACUGUCAGCGACUGAGCGAAAGCAUUAAGUGAUCCACCUGGGGAGUACGGCGGCAACGUUGAAACUCAAAGGAAUUGACGGGGGCCCGCACAAGCGGAGGAGCAUGUGGUUUAAUUCGAUGAUACGCGAGGAACCUUACCUGGGCUUAAAUGCAGGACGACGUUUCGUGAAAGCGGAAUUUCCUUCGGGACGUCUUGCAAGGUGCUGCAUGGUUGUCGUCAGCUCGUGCCGUGAGGUGUCGGGUUAAGUCCCAUAACGAGCGCAACCCUUAUUCUUAGUUGCCAUCAGGUCAAGCUGGGAACUCUAAGAAAACUGCCUACGCAAGUAGUGAGGAAGGUGGGGAUGACGUCAAAUCAGCACGGCCCUUAUGUCCAGGGCGACACACGUGCUACAAUGGUCGGUACAGAGGGUUGCUACCAGGUGACUGGAUGCUAAUCUCGAAAGCCGGUCUCAGUUCGGAUUGAAGU